Macaca fascicularis (crab-eating macaque) is the source of this 148-nucleotide unclassified non-coding RNA. It matches the Rfam family "Metazoan signal recognition particle RNA". Rfam says of the family: The signal recognition particle (SRP) is a universally conserved ribonucleoprotein. The record is from Ensembl. NCBI's taxonomy places the organism in Eukaryota, Metazoa, Chordata, Mammalia, Primates, Cercopithecidae.
GCUGGGUGUGGUGGCACACGCCUGUGGUCCUAGCUACCUAGGAGGCUGAGGUGGGAUGAUGGCUUGAGCCCAGGAGGCAGAGGUUGCAGUGAGCCAAGAUGGCACCACUGCACUCUAGCCUGGACAACAGAGCCAGACCCUAUCUCAA